This 253-nucleotide ribosomal RNA is filed under the name uncultured bacterium. Its description in RNAcentral is "partial 16S ribosomal RNA". It matches the Rfam family "Bacterial small subunit ribosomal RNA", at positions 524 to 776 of the family's 1533-position model. The record is from RNAcentral.
UACAGAGGGUGCAAGCGUUGAUCGGAAUUAUUGGGCGUAAAGGGAGUGUAGGCGGUUUCCUAAGUCUUCUGUGAAAUCUACGGGCUUAGCCUGUAACGUGCAGAGGAAACUGGGAGACUUGAGUGUCGGAGAGGAUAGGGGAAUACCCAGUGUAGAGGUGAAAUUCGUAGAGAUUGGGUGGAACACCAGUGGCGAAGGCGCCUGUCUGGCUGACAACUGACGCUGAGACUCGAAAGCAUGGGGAGCAAACAGG